Rattus rattus (black rat) is the source of this 701-nucleotide long non-coding RNA. RefSeq lists it as uncharacterized. Lineage: Eukaryota; Metazoa; Chordata; Mammalia; Rodentia; Muridae. The record is from RefSeq and is a predicted model, not a curated record. The transcript is spliced from 4 exons.
UUCCUGAUUUGUAAAACUAAAAACUCAGUGUCUUAAAGACCCUUGUUCCCCACUCCUUUCUCAGUCAUUUCAGGCCACUCCCCUCAACUUCCCUGAGCUGGAAUGAAGGCAUUUUCACCUGGAGGAGCUUCUUCGAAAUGGUUCUUACCUUCUCUGGUCAAGUCAACACUUCCAUACAUAAAUAACACCUGCAAGUGCUCCACUAGGAGACAAAAGAGAAAGCAACAGUCUUUGGAGACUCUCUUCUCUCCGCGAGCCCUUUCAGAGACCAGGUUAAAUCUCAUGAAAUGGAAGUCCCAUUCCAUUUCAGAGGUGAACAGAUCCAAACUUUGAUUGUCAUCACCUACACAGGGUAAAGUUAGGCCAGUGUGGAAGAAAGAGACCAGAAUGUGGCAAAACUAAUGGGGAGAGGUGACCAUGAGAAUUGGGAGUGUUGGUCAAUCCACAGCCCACAUACAAAGAAGUGUCUGGCCAUCUGUUCCUGAAAGAUUUAUUGUCUUGAGAAACUCCAUCUGCAGGUUUCACAUACAUACUGUCACUCACCGUAAGAACCAGCGAUCUCCCAGGCCAUAUUCGCAACCACAGAUACCAGAGCGAGGCCACAGGAAACGGGGCAUUUUCCUCUCCAGCAUCACUGUGGUGGCUACAACCUGGAAGGAGAUCAUGUAGCAAAAGAUCUCAGAAAGAGCCAUGAGGAGCAG